RNAcentral lists this non-coding RNA (34 nucleotides) under unclassified sequences. Its description in RNAcentral is "L31-Firmicutes ribosomal protein leader". It matches the Rfam family "L31-Firmicutes ribosomal protein leader". The record is from RNAcentral.
CUUUGUAAUAGCAAAUAUUACAAGGCGGAAGGAG